Molecule: long non-coding RNA, 218 nt
Filed under: Nicotiana benthamiana
Lineage: Eukaryota; Viridiplantae; Streptophyta; Magnoliopsida; Solanales; Solanaceae
Description: long non-coding RNA (NBEN_LNC040512)
Source: RNAcentral
GUCGGUGGGUUUAUUUCUCGAAUGUCCCAAUACAAAAUGACCCUUCGUUUUUAUCAAAGUACAGAAAAUUAAAAUAUAAAAUAUCUCUGUGUGUGUGUAUACAUGUAUGUAAAACUGGCUAUAAUUACAAAUGCAUAAAAUGACUAUUUACGUAACAUCUGUUGCUUCUCUCUUCAUAUUGGGCUUCAGCUGACUGGAGGAGCCCAAUAGCUCAACAG